CUCUCCAUUGCCCAUCCACGGCCAAACGCCCCUGCUGCUCGCCAGUCGCCACCAUUCGAUCCGCUCGUCAUUACUGCGAGACCCAGUGUUUCGAUUUCCAAAUGGGAUCAAAGGACCGGCUUCUAGAACCAUUCCUAGGUCUAGCCGAUUCGACAUCGACGCUCUAUCUAGACCUCUCCUUUGACCGCCUACUUGAGUCCAGGCCUUGUGAUUCGGACCAGAACGAUAUGAUAAGCGAGCGAUGAAGAUGGGUUCUGUGCUCCUCGAAGCCCAUAAGAGAUCUGCCAGAAAGCAUGCCACAAUGCACAACGCCGUCGUUUGGGCCCUGCCUCCUGAUCUCACUACCAAAAUUCGUGUCAAUUGAUUUAUUUUUUUGGGGGGUAAGGUUUGGGUUUUGGUUAUUUGUUCGGUUGGAGUGCACAAAACUCUUUGACGAUUUACCUGGAACACUGGAUAUGGAGUCUACUAUUGUGAUCAAGAGGGUGCAAUCUAAAUGUUACUUGCCAGAAUGCAUAAAUUCUCAAUUGGCUCAAUGAUAGAGUUUACAUGGGCUAUCCUCAAUUUCCCACGAUCCCAAUGAUUUGUAUUUUGUGCCUUACUGAUAGCUGACUGCACACCUCUAUUUUGAUUAAGGUAGGAGGAAGAACUCUAGACAAUUUUGAAUAAAGUUGUGCAAAGUUUGCUACUUGAGCCUUACCCGUCAGAUUGAUAGUUGCUGAGAAGGCUACCUUGUGUUAGCUAGAAUGAAGGAGUAUCGUUCAAUAUUCAGUGUUCCAUGGAAAGAUCAGAGACAAAAAAGUGAAUAAGUUGUAUCUUCCUCUUGCUGCUGCUGCUCCUCUUCCUGUUGGAGUAAUUACCCAAGCUAUGUGACAUGUCAAUAUGGCUCCAAGAAUUCUUUCGGAAGGUAACCAGCUCUGUUAACCCACAUAUUCAUUUUAAACAUUUUACUAAGUUGGGUUAGUGGCUAGAGUAUGUCUAUUGGUACUACCAUACUGCAAUGGAUGAAUGGUAUGACCUGCACAGAUGUGGUCAUUUUUUGUGUAUUUGUAGACUUUAUUGAAUUAAAAGAGCUUAAUUGCAUUUUGCUAA
Molecule: long non-coding RNA, 1089 nt
Organism: Rhododendron vialii
Lineage: Eukaryota; Viridiplantae; Streptophyta; Magnoliopsida; Ericales; Ericaceae
Exons: 5
Source: RefSeq, a predicted model, not a curated record